RNAcentral lists this non-coding RNA (31 nucleotides) under Homo sapiens (human). Lineage: Eukaryota; Metazoa; Chordata; Mammalia; Primates; Hominidae. The record is from RNAcentral.
AAACGUCUCCUGAACCAAUCCUUAUAGUCCA